Molecule: non-coding RNA, 1059 nt
Organism: Peromyscus maniculatus bairdii (prairie deer mouse)
Lineage: Eukaryota; Metazoa; Chordata; Mammalia; Rodentia; Cricetidae
Source: RefSeq, a predicted model, not a curated record
UGCAUAUUAUUUAAACUGUGAGGAAUCAAUGAGGUCUGCAAUAUGAGCAGAUCUUUAAUAUGAACAGAGUGUGUUUGUCUGUCUUCUGUGAGCCAAGGAGAAAAACCAAAAAAGGAAAGAGAAACAACUUUGGUUUGUAGUGGAUCAUCAGUAAGGUGCUUUGAUGUUUUUGCAUUUGGAACAUAACUGACUUCAGGCCACGCUGAGAAGUGUGGAAACCAGGCUUGAACCUCCAUUUCCAGCAAUCAGUGCUUCCUCACCAAUCCGUGAAAGUCCUUCUGAUGUUUUAGACUUGUUAAGUCUCCUAAAGAACCGAUACGUGACAGAUGAACAAUGUCAAGCAUGGUGGGACAUUUUCUGCAAAAAAUUAAUCCUCUUGAUAAACUGCUGCUGUGCUCAGGACCUUGAUCUCCAUGAAGGGCGGAUUCCAAGCAGAGCACAAAAAAGAAUGCCACUGAAGUGUAAUUUAUGGAUUUUACUGGAGUGCUUUGGAUAUCUGUGUCCACAAAACAGAGAGAACAAUGCACUCUCAACAUAAAUUGGUCCUGACUAGCGGAGAGGAUAGAGCUCAGAAUACAUGGUGGUGUCAUGAAGGAUUGUAUGCUUAUCCCUGCUGAUCCAUUUUUACUCUCCCACCUACAAAAUAACUCUUCCUCCUUCACACAAGGCUCACAGAACAUUUUGGAUGAGGAGGCAGAAAGAUUGUAAGAGCCAGAGGAUCAAUGAGUUUUCUUUGAGACUGUGUUUUCUAGCGACAUCAGCAGCUAAACUCAUAAAGUGUCACCACCAUGACUGACUAAACAUGAGGUGAACAAGGACACCAAUAAGCGUGCCAAAGUGGAUGCCUGCUGAGAGGAGACAACCAGACCUCAAACCUAUAAAAAACAAGACAAAGACAACACGGAAUGCUGACAGUGGGAGACAUAGUCUUCCCUUGGAAGAUCACAACUGGUUACUCAGUAACAAUUGCUCAGUCCUGAAAACACACAUAUACAUAGCCUAAACUGGUUUUAAAAGUAGGUGUGUACUCACGUGAAAGUCAUACACAUUGCCAGAAAA